CUUCCUCAGUCAGUCUGGGGAACCAUCCAGUUUUCCACACCUCCUCAAACUAGGAACCAGAGUUGAAAGGCCAAAGUCACAUUACUUUCUGAGCGAGCCACAGCAAAAGCCCAUAACUUAACUAAAUAUAAAUUGUGGCUUUCUUUCUCUCUUCCAGAAACCUGUAGAAGUAACCGUUGCAUUGAAAGGAAUCCAUUAAUUAUGUAUCUUGAUUAUGGUGGUGAUUACAUGAAUCUACAUGAGAUAAAAUGACACAGAACUAUACAGACUCAAGAUACCAUGUAGGCUUCCCGAUUUAUGGAUAUUGUACCACAGUGAUCUAAGAUGUAACCAAUGGGAGACACUGGAUGAAAGCAAUUAUUUUUGAGGUACCUGUUGUGUGAUCCUUUGGGGCCCUGCAGUUACAAACGUGGUGAAGUUUACAGUCUCUGCAAAUCAGCUCACAAAGAGGCCCUAGAAUUAGCCAAAACCUCUAUUUAACCAGACUGGAAAUAACAACUGACAAGGAUACAGAAUGCCUCACUUGAGGCAUAGAGACACAGAAAUCCUUCCAUGUAGCCGCCCACUUCAUGGCUGGAUCAAGAACCGUACUGAUCACAGAAAUCUUACAUUAAGCCUAUUUCAUGAUAAGAGUAUAAAAUGGAUUACUCUUCAUCAUCGUCACCAUCGUCAUCGUCACCAUGUUAUACUACUACCGUUACACCUCAUUUCCAUUAAAGGAGCUCCAAACAUUUAACAAACUGCUAACCUAAGAAGAAAGUGACUCGCAUGUACUCUAUGAGUGAAAAUGUCACAAAAACUCACAGGACUUUCAUUUUCAUCACAAAUCAAAUGGCAUCAGUAAUCAAGCAGUUUCACAGUGCAUUCUCCAGGAAGAGAAGUGGUGUUUUUAAGCACAGUCCUUAUUGAAAGAUGGCAAGUAAAUGUAUCUGUAUUAUGCUUCCAAAGCUUCAUACCGUUCCUUCCUGGAAUGGUUAUUUCUUUCCUAUUGAGUAGCAGCAAAAUCAUAACAAGCUCCCGUUUUUCAGAUUGGCUGAGCAAUGAGAUAUGUGCGAAAGAUAAAGAAGAACCAAACACACACGCUGCUUCUGCUGGACGGAGGCGCCGUCACAAUUCCUAGGCUAUGAACACUGGAAUGCUGUUUGCUGCACUCACUGACCACAUUAUUGCUCAUCUGGCAUUGAGCACACGCUUCCUGAAACUACUGUGCCUUUUUAUGUGCUUUUCCAACUCCUCAAAUCUGUUUCUUAUCCUCAGUACUUAACACAGAGUUUACAUGGAGCAGACUAUUGGCAAAUGUUUAUGUAGAAAGGAUGAUAAACUGAAUAUUAUUUGACACACAUACAUCCACAUAUGAAGAGAUUUUAAUUGCUCAUAGCUGUCCUAGAAUUGAUCCUCCCUAACCUGCUCGCCUGACUCUUAAAGCAGUGUACUUUUGUUAAGAACCCCAUAAAAAAUAUGUUGCCCAUUCUAAGAAUUACACAUUACUCACGUGUUCCUAUAUGGACCAUGGAACAGGAGUCAGUGGAACCUAACACAUCCUAGACGCUGGGAUAUUGCUGUUCCAAAAAUUAGUUUAUGGUCAAAUUGACUUAACUCUGAAAUGACCCUGAAUAAAAUGCAGUUUUUCCUAAUGAUUUAGAAAGUGAUUACGGUCUUGCAGGAAUUCAGGGUCAUCAUUACAGUUUUGACUCUCCCCACAGAACACAGCAAAAAUAAAUUUGGGUCACUUUAGCUUUUUGGUUGUUUGGACAUUAGAUAUAAUUAACAUCAGUAAGCAUUUGCUGGAUAUUUAUAUAUGCUUUAGUGGGUACUACUGGGUUUAUCAGUCUAUAAUUUUUAAUGACUUUAUUAUGAUUUCUUAGAUGCAAUAUACAUAAGCAAUAUUAAAAAACGGUCUAAAAAUGUGUAUAUCAAUCAGGCACACAGGUCCAAAGCUUAACAUGCUGGAGGUUCAAAUAUAUGAGUUAACUAAACGAGCUAAGCAUUCUCCCCACUGGGCACUAGUCUCAUCAAAGACAGAAAGGGCUGAGAGAACAUGGCUAGAGCUCACUCGGGUUUUAGGUUAGAAAAAGAGCAUAUAAACUCCUAGUUAUUGUGUGUCUUUACCUUCAUACCUCAUUUGGAACCAGGCUCUCCUACUCUCCAUGCUGAAAGGUCCCCUAAUGACUUAGAAGUAGGUUUAAACCUACCUGUACGCUUAGGAUAUGUACAGGAUACCUGUACAUUUUGGAUAUAUGGUGUAUACACAAGCACAGGUCUAGAGUUAGUAAGCCUGUUCCUGUCUAAUACACACCGUGAACUCGACCCAUCGAACUCUCUAGGCCUGCUUUCCUCACUGCAAAAUAAAGGGGCCAGCCUAAAUCAAGGGUUGCCAGAUUCAGUGACCAUCAGAAUUUUCUGGAGAUGUUUGUGAAAAAUGUAGACCCCUCCCCCACCUCUACACUUCAAUUCUGUAGAUCUGGAUUAGGGCCCAGAUUAGGGCCCUGCAUUUCUCCCCAACCAGCCAACUACCAUCAUAGACCCUGGUGAGUAAAAGCUGAGGAUUGCUCCCUGAUUUCUAGGUGGCUCCAUGCUCUAAAAUUCCAACUCUAUUCAAGGGCAGAGGGUGUGCAGACUCUUAAGUGAAAAGCUCAUAUUUUGUCAUGUAGUUUACGUUUUAGGUCUCCAAAAUCAACAUUUCAGGUUCGUAGUCAAUUUCUAAAAAAUUUGCUAUGUGGAAACAACCUGAGUUCAUUUUACCAGUAUUUUUCCAGAGCACUCAUUGUCCCCACUGAGAAGCAUCUUAUUUGGUUUAGAAUUAAAACCUUUAGUCUCCAAAUCCAAUGUAGUAUUUGUUAUUGAAAGAACACAGGAUGAUCAGGAAAGAAGGGUAGAGGCUAGUGGCAUAAUACAGAUUCAUUUUCUAAAAAACAACACAUGCCACUUACUGAAAAAGAAAACAUCUAUUCUUUCAAUUAACUGUAAAAUUUCCUUCUUUAAAGUCAUACUAGCAAACCAUGGACUAAAAAUGUCUGAAACAAUUCACCCCAAAGAUACACAAUCUGGAUUUUACUUUACCAUUGUGAUGUUUUCAACAGGGCAAAAAAUGUGUUUUCUUAAUAACGACUAUUAGGAAAACACACUUUUUCAAGGGUGCCAAAGCUAGACUCUGACAAGCGACAUUAUGGGGAGAGAAACAGAGCUGCAAAGCAGAGACAAAAAAUAAUUAAUUGAAAUAACUAAUUAGAGCUUAUUUACAUAUUAUAUUUUUAUGUACUUUCAAACAGACUUUUCAAUAAUGCUUCUAAAUUAAGGGGCAUUUGUAGUAGGGAACCCUCCACAUAUUGGAUCAAAGCAAAUACAUUCUUCCCAGUCUCUUUUUUGAAACUUUUCAGAGUGUGUUCAAUUCAUAGGAACAAAAAACUAUCUCACAAGAGAACUCACUGGCCUUUUUUUUUUUUUUUUAUUGCUUCCCACCCCACUUCAAAUCUUUAAUGAACACAUGCUCUGAAGAGCUUAGCUUCCCCUGUGGUACUCUUUUGGAAACCAAUGUUACCAUUUAACUGAAAUCCUAUUUGCUGCAUGUACAGUCCAUUUUCCAAAUGGCCUUUCACUAAAGACGCCCAAAAGAUUCGGUUGCUGGGGGUUGAAGCAGAAAUUUUGGCAUAAGGCUCCACAAAGGCGCAAUCUUUCUUCUCACAAGUGCACCUAGUUAGCUCAAUUGGCUGCAAUGCGGUGUUACUGAAGCCGAGAUCUCGAGGAGAAGCCAACCACCUUCUUGCUACUUCAUGACUACCAACUCAGCCCUCUUUCCCCUGACCGGCAGCUGGAAAAUUCAUGGGAAUAAAAGUGACACGAGCUGUGGCUAGAUGCAGGUGAAUCUCUCUCACCAAGGAAAGAACUCACACAAUGCUUUCUAAGUCAGCCACGCUACUCCCUUUACCUAAUUUGGUAAAGCAAAUUUGGUGUUUUCUAUUUGGAAGGUAGAAAGGCUCUAAGAGAAAAACCAGGGGCGGGGGAAAGGAAGAAGAGGAUGUGUCUUCAUUAAAAAGGGAGGAAAAGAGAUAAGAGAGGAUACAUUUUCACUUUUUCCGUUAAAGGAGAAAAGUAAACUGGCACGCUUCAUCACCUCUUCUACUGUAUGCGUGCAGAGGGGAGAGAGGUGGCCACGGGAAGGGCAAAAGGACUGCCUUUGCCUUCCCUCCCCUCUUCUGUCCAGUGCCCCGGCACGGGCAAAUCACCUGUGGUAAGCACUUUGCAAAAUGUGACUCAAAGGCCUGGACUUUUAUCAUAAGCUCUGGAGACCAGAUUUCCCAAAAUGAAGGAAAACAGAAAUGAGGAGUUUCAAGGACUUGCUAUUUUCUAAGAAUCAGAGGGGAAAAAGGUCAUACAGAACUUAGCUCUCCUACUUUAUAGUCCAUAACCAUUGACUGGUCAUGUAAUUGUUGAACAUGUACUUCUUAAAAGAAGGUGUCGCACUGGGUAUACAAUCACAAGUUCUGUUUAAUGAGGCUGGAAUUAGCACAAAGCUGGGCACAGCGUGUUAACAAAGGAUUUCUGGACACAGGGUGGAAGCAGGUUUUGCAGCAUAGCUUGGGAUCCAUCCGAGGAGGUAGAAGCCAAGCAAACCUGGGUCCCAGACUUCCGUCCUCCAUCGUAGGAGAGACUGGAGCUGGGAUGUGAAUGAAACCGACCACAUGUGGGUUCCCAAGUGAACACAGGUAGAAUGAGGCUACAGAAUUCUAGGUCAUGGCGAUGGAAAGGGGUAGAACAAUGAGAAACACCUACUCAGAAAUAAGUGAUCCCAAACGUCUUCCACCUCAAGCAUCCGAGUUGCUCUGUGACUUUGAGACAAAGUGGUGACCCACAAGGUAGGAGACAUCUACUGUGUCAUAAAAAUCAAUUAAAAUGUGACAUAUUUGGAUGGAGAAUCAGGCACA
This is a long non-coding RNA of Prionailurus viverrinus (fishing cat), 4922 nucleotides long. RefSeq lists it as uncharacterized. NCBI's taxonomy places the organism in Eukaryota, Metazoa, Chordata, Mammalia, Carnivora, Felidae. The transcript has 3 exons. The record is from RefSeq and is a predicted model, not a curated record.